Molecule: long non-coding RNA, 459 nt
Filed under: Sinocyclocheilus anshuiensis
Lineage: Eukaryota; Metazoa; Chordata; Actinopteri; Cypriniformes; Cyprinidae
Description: lncRNA (ENSSANG00000015440.1)
Source: RNAcentral
UGGAGAGUUCGUUACCUCGCUGCUGAGCAAAUGGAACGUUGGCUACACCACUAGAGAAGUUUACCAAAGUAUGACAACUUCUGCCUCGGAAAGAGUCCACACGGUUUAAUUUACCUCAGCACCGUGAUGUCUAAAGACAAGAUGGAUAAAAUAUUCAUAUUACUUCAGAAGUUCAGACUGGAUAAAUACUACAAAAAAUUAAUUGAUCUUGGGAUUGAAGAAGAACUGGAUUUUUUUGACAGCGUCAAUGAUGUGACCUUAAAAACCAUGGAUUUUUCACAAGCAGAGAGGAACCGGUAUGACAAUAUGGUUGCUUAUCUGAAAAGAAUCGGCAAUGCACCAGUUCCAGAGAUGCAAGGAAUGCCUGUAAUGAAGUCAAUUAAUUCAUUUCAUAUAUCCUACCGAUUUCCAAAAUGUCCUGGGAUACAAGAGAUCACAGGUAAAUCUUCAUAGUACACA